GACGAACGCUGGCGGCGUGCUUAACACAUGCAAGUCGAACGGAAAGGCCCUGCUUUUGUGGGGUGCUCGAGUGGCGAACGGGUGAGUAACACGUGAGUAACCUGCCCUUGACUUUGGGAUAACUUCAGGAAACUGGGGCUAAUACCGGAUAGGAGCUCCUGCUGCAUGGUGGGGGUUGGAAAGUUUCGGCGGUUGGGGAUGGACUCGCGGCUUAUCAGCUUGUUGGUGGGGUAGUGGCUUACCAAGGCUUUGACGGGUAGCCGGCCUGAGAGGGUGACCGGCCACAUUGGGACGGAGAUACGGCCCAGACUACUACGGGAGGCAACAGUGGGGAAUAUUGCACAAGGGGCGGAAGCCUGAUGCAGCAACGCCGCGUGCGGGAUGACGGCAUUCGGGUUGGAAACCGCUUUCGCCUGUGACGAAGCGUGAGUGACGGUAAUGGGUAAAGAAGCACCGGCUAACUACGU
This 467-nucleotide ribosomal RNA is filed under the name uncultured bacterium. RNAcentral describes it as "partial 16S ribosomal RNA". It matches the Rfam family "Bacterial small subunit ribosomal RNA", at positions 28 to 506 of the family's 1533-position model. The record is from RNAcentral.